AACCUUGCACUGGAGUAUAUCCACACCUGUGAAGUAAUAACUGAGGCUGGAUUAUUGCUGAUUGAAAACUUUUUACCAAUCACCGCGAGACGACUAAACCCUUUGAGGGAGUCGGCUUCGCAAUUUUUGGAACGACCUCUGGUC
Molecule: small nuclear RNA, 144 nt
Filed under: Anaeromyces robustus
Lineage: Eukaryota; Fungi; Neocallimastigomycota; Neocallimastigomycetes; Neocallimastigales; Neocallimastigaceae
Description: U4 spliceosomal RNA
Rfam family: U4 spliceosomal RNA
About the family: U4 small nuclear RNA (U4 snRNA) is a component of the major U2-dependent spliceosome. The structure of U4 snRNA from yeast and human has been reported.
Source: Rfam by way of RNAcentral